RNAcentral lists this long non-coding RNA (403 nucleotides) under Penaeus japonicus. RNAcentral's name for it is "uncharacterized LOC122253081". Lineage: Eukaryota; Metazoa; Arthropoda; Malacostraca; Decapoda; Penaeidae. The record is from RNAcentral.
CUCUCCUCUGAGUUGAAGUAGACGCGCGAGUGGCGAUACGUUUUAGAGAGAUAACAGAACCCACGCCAAAAUAAACAAAGACUGAAUUAAACUGAAGCUGAAGUUGAGGCUGGAAAUAGAGAGAGCGAAAGAAAAUACUAAAAAAAGAAGAAAGACAGUGAAUGAAAGUUAUAAAUAAUGAAAAUGUGGCGAAUGAGAAGUACCUUGAUGUCACACGCAUCCUUUAUUGCAACUGUGAUCGUGAUUGGAAUUAUGUUGACGUUGAAUAAUGUGAGAGAGGUCACCGAUGACCUCGACCUUGCCAUCCGCAUCCGAGGGCCCCUGGCAGGAGACGACCCUCGCCUCCUGUCGUACCUGAAGGAGCACUUCCUCGACCCGCCCUCGAGGCUGCCCUACAACCUGU